Molecule: small RNA, 2697 nt
Filed under: Pongo abelii (Sumatran orangutan)
Lineage: Eukaryota; Metazoa; Chordata; Mammalia; Primates; Hominidae
Description: retained intron
Source: RNAcentral
AGCCCCAAACUCACCAUCUGGCCGUGGACACCUGUGUCAGCAUGUGGGUCCUGGUUCUCUUCAUCGCCUUGCCUGUGGGGUGCACUGGUGAGACUGGGGGGAAAAAGGAAGGGGGGUGGGUUUUGACUCUUAUGCUGAAGCCCUUUCCCUCCCACCCAGCGCCCCAGCCUCGUCCCUUCAGCCCACAGUUCACCCCAGACAAUGUGCCCCUGACUCUUCCACAUUGCAAUAGUCCUCAUGCCCGCAGUAGGUCCCUGCUCCCUCCCACUUACCUCAGAACUUUCUCCCCAUUGCCCAGCCAAAUCCCUGCUCCCAGCUGCUUUACUAAAGAGCAAGUUCCUGGGCAUCUCUGUGUUUCUUUUUAUGGGGCUCAAAACCUUUCAAGGACCUCUCUCCAUGCCAUUGGUUCCUUGGACCCUAUCAUUGGGCUGCCUCCUGAGCCCCUCAGUCCUACCACAGUCUACUGACUUUUCCCAUUCAGCUGUGAGCAUUCAACCUUGUGCCCUGGACCUUGACACCUGGCUUCCCAACCCUGUCCCAGGAAACCCAGAUGCCACCAGACACUUCCUUCUCCCCCCGAGGCUAUCUGGCCUGACAACAAAUGCUGCCCCCCAUCCCCAGUCUGGCACUGGGACUCUGAGAACUCCUCCUUCCCUGACUCUUUGCCCCAGACCCUUCAUUCAAUGGCCAGCUUUUUCCAUGGGAAAAACACGAGCACCCCCAACUGCAACUGCCAGUUCUCUGAUUCCCUAAAUCUGCACCCUUUUCAAAACCUCAGAAGCAAAACAAAACAAAGCAAGAAACAACUCAGGCAGGACUGUUUGCUUAACCUUGGACAUGGUAAACCAUCCAAAAUCUUCCUUUCCCAGCAACUAAACCUCUCCAUUGGGCACUUAUCCCUGGUUUCUGGAACCCCUUAUUCUCUUAGAACCCACAGCUUCCACCACAGUUUCCCUUCUCCCAGUGUAAGACCCCAAAUCAUUCCAAAUGACCCAACCCCCAACCCGAUGCCUGCUCCAGAUGCUGUCCCAUGUUCCCUACUCUGAUCUCUGAGGUCAGCUCUGUUCUCAGAGCUUGAAGUCUUCCCACCUGGCCCAGCCACCAACCCGCUAACACAGGGAAUAGCUACAGAAUUCCCAGCCCUCCCAGGACCCCUUGCUUGUGUCCUGGACUCCCAGUCCUGGUCCUCUGCCCCCAUGUCUCUUCAAACCCAUAGCUCAGCUCCCUCCCUCCCCUAUCCAGUUCUUCUGGGUCUGAUCCCCCUGACCUAGCAUCCCCUCUGCAGGUGCCGCACCCCUCAUCCAGUCUCGGAUUGUGGGAGGCUGGGAGUGUGAGAAGCAUUCCCAACCCUGGCAGGCGGCUGUGUACAGUCAUGGAUGGGCACACUGUGGAGGUGUCCUGGUGCACCCCCAGUGGGUGCUCACAGCUGCCCAUUGCCUAAAGAAGAAUAGCCAGGUCUGGCUGGGUCGGCACAACCUGUUUGAGCCUGAAGACACAGGCCAGAGGGUCCCUGUCAGCCACAGCUUCCCAUACCCGCUCUACAAUAUGAGCCUUCUGAAGCGUCGAAGCCUUAGACCAGAUGAAGACUUCAGCCACGACCUCAUGUUGCUCCGCCUGUCAGAGCCUGCCAAGAUCACAGAUGCUGUGAAGGUCCUGGGCCUGCCCACCCAGGAGCCAGCACUGGGGACCACCUGCUACGCCUCAGGCUGGGGCAGCAUCCAACCAGAGGAGUUCUUGCGCCCAAAGAGUCUUCAGUGUGUGAGCCUCCAUCUCCUGUCCAAUGACAUGUGUGCUAGAGCUUACUCUGAGAAAGUGACAGAGUUCAUGUUGUGUGCUGGGCUCUGGACAGGUGGUAAAGACACUUGUGGGGGUGAUUCUGGGGGUCCACUUGUCUGUAAUGGUGUGCUUCAAGGUAUCACGUCAUGGGGCCCUGAGCCAUGUGCCCUGCCUGAAAAGCCUGCUGUAUACACCAAGGUGGUGCAUUACCAGAAGUGGAUCAAGGACACCAUCUCAGCCAACCCCUGAGUGCCCCUGUCCCACCCCUACCUCUAGUAAAUUUAAGUCCACCUCACGUUCUGGCAUCACUUGGCCUUUCUGGAUGCUGGCCACCUGAAGCUUGGAACUCACCUGGCCAAAACUCGAGCCUCCUGAGUCCUACUGACCUGUGCUUUCUGGUGUGGAGUCCAAGGCUGCUAGGAAAAGGAAUGGGCAGACACAGGUGUAGGCCAGUGUUUCUGAAAUGGGUAUAAUUUCGUCCUUUUCUUCAGAACACUGGCUGUGUCUGGAGACUUCUCACUCAGUUUCAGUGAGGACACACACAAGGACGUGGGUGACCAUUUUGUUUGUGGGGUGCAGAGACAGGAGGGGUGGGGCCCACCCUGGAAGAGUGGACAGUGACACAAGGUGGACACUCUUUACAGAUCCCUGAGGAUAAGCUGGAGCCACAAUGUGCGAGGCACAUGCACAGCAAGGAUGACACUGAAAACAUAACCCACUCUGUCCUGGGGGCACUAGGAAGCCUAGAUAAGGCUGUGGGCAGAAAGAAGGGGAGGGUCCUUCUAUGUUGUUGAAGGAGGGACUAAGGGGAGAAACUGAAAGCUGAUUAAUUACAUGAGGUGUGUUCAGGUCCCCCAAACCACUGUCAGAUUUGAUGGUUUCCUAGCAGGACUUACAGAAAUAAAGAGCCAUCAUGCUGUG